ACACAUGCAAGCCGAGCGGUAUGAUUCUUUCGGGAAUCAGAGAGCGGCGUACGGGUGCGGAACACGUGUGCAACCUGCCUUUAUCUGGGGGAUAGCCUUUCGAAAGGAAGAUUAAUACCCCAUAAUAUAUUGAGUGGCAUCACUUAAUAUUGAAAACUCCGGUGGAUAGAGAUGGGCACGCGCAAGAUUAGAUAGUUGGUGGGGUAACGGCCUACCAAGUCGAUGAUCUUUAGGGGGCCUGAGAGGGUGAUCCCCCACACUGGUACUGAGACACGGACCAGACUCCUACGGGAGGCAGCAGUGAGGAAUAUUGGACAAUGGGUGCAAGCCUGAUCCAGCCAUCCCGCGUGAAGGACGACGGCCCUAUGGGUUGUAAACUUCUUUUGUACAGGGAUAAACCUAGAUACGUGUAUCUAGCUGAAGGUACUGUACGAAUUUGCACCGGCUAACUCCGUGCCAGCAGCCGCGGUAAUACGGAGGGUGCAAGCGUUAUCCGGAUUUAUUGGGUUUAAAGGGUCCGUAGGCGGAUCAGUAAGUCAGUGGUGAAAUCUCAUAGCUUAACUAUGAAACUGCCAUUGAUACUGCUGGUCUUGAGUAAGGUAGAAGUAGCUGGAAUAAGUAGUGUAGCGGUGAAAUGCAUAGAUAUUACUUAGAACACCAAUUGCGAAGGCAGGUUACUAUGUCUUAACUGACGCUGAUGGACGAAAGCGUGGGGAGCGAACAGGAUUAGAUACCCUGGUAGUCCACGCUGUAAACGAUGCUAACUCGUUUUUGGGUUUUCGGAUUCAGAGACUAAGCGAAAGUGAUAAGUUAGCCACCUGGGGGAGUACGAACGCAAGUUUGAAACUCAAAGGAAUUGACGGGGGCCCGCACAAGCGGUGGAUUAUGUGGUUUAAUUCGAUGAUACGCGAGGAACCUUACCAAGGCUUAAAUGGGAAUUGAUCGGUUUAGAAAUAGACCUUCCUUCGGGCAAUUUUCAAGGUGCUGCAUGGUUGUCGUCAGCUCGUGCCGUGAGGUGUUAGGUUAAGUCCUGCAACGAGCGCAACCCCUGUCACUAGUUGCCAUCAUUAAGUUGGGGACUCUAGUGAGACUGCCUACGCAAGUAGAGAGGAAGGUGGGGAUGACGUCAAAUCAUCACGGCCCUUACGCCUUGGGCCACACACGUAAUACAAUGGCCGGUACAGAGGGCAGCUACACAGCGAUGUGAUGCAAAUCUCGAAAGCCGGUCUCAGUUCGGAUUGGAGUCUGCAACUCGACUCUAUGAAGCUGGAAUCGCUAGUAAUCGCGCAUCAGCCAUGGCGCGGUGAAUACGUUCCCGGGCCUUGUACACACCGCCCGUCAAGCCAUGGAAGUCUGGGGUACCUGAAGUCGGUGACCGUAAAAGGAGCUGCCUAGGGUAAGAC
RNAcentral lists this ribosomal RNA (1403 nucleotides) under Chryseobacterium daecheongense. Its description in RNAcentral is "16S ribosomal RNA". It matches the Rfam family "Bacterial small subunit ribosomal RNA". The record is from RNAcentral. Lineage: Bacteria; Pseudomonadati; Bacteroidota; Flavobacteriia; Flavobacteriales; Weeksellaceae.